GCUGGGUGUGGCAGCGGGCACCUGUAAUCCCAGCUACUUGGGAGGCUGAGGCAGGAGACUUGCUUGAAUCCAGGAGGCGGAGGUUGCGGUGAGCUGAGAUGGUGCCACUGCACUCCAGCCUGGGUGACAGAGCAAGACUCCGUCUCAG
Molecule: non-coding RNA, 148 nt
Filed under: Chlorocebus sabaeus (green monkey)
Lineage: Eukaryota; Metazoa; Chordata; Mammalia; Primates; Cercopithecidae
Source: Rfam by way of RNAcentral